AUGUAUGUGUGCAUGUGCAUGU
RNAcentral lists this microRNA (22 nucleotides) under Mus musculus (house mouse). Its description in RNAcentral is "mmu-miR-297a-5p". Its record names the gene mmu-miR-297a-5p. The record is from miRBase by way of RNAcentral. Lineage: Eukaryota; Metazoa; Chordata; Mammalia; Rodentia; Muridae.